RNAcentral lists this ribosomal RNA (372 nucleotides) under uncultured organism. Its description in RNAcentral is "bacterial SSU rRNA". It matches the Rfam family "Bacterial small subunit ribosomal RNA", at positions 526 to 896 of the family's 1533-position model. The record is from RNAcentral.
CAGAGGGUGCGAGCGUUGUCCGGAAUCACUGGGCGUAAAGGGCGCGUAGGCGGCUUUGCAAGCGUGCGGUGAAAGCUCGGGGCUUAACUCCGAGUCUGCCGUGCGAACUGUGAGGCUUGAGUCUGGUAGAGGUCGAUGGAAUUCCGGGUGUAGCGGUGGAAUGCGUAGAGAUCCGGAAGAACACCGGUGGCGAAGGCGGUCGACUGGGCCAGUACUGACGCUGAGGCGCGACAGCGUGGGGAGCAAACAGGAUUAGAUACCCUGGUAGUCCACGCCGUAAACGAUGGGCACUAGGUCCUUGGGGGAGCGACCCCUUGAGGGCCGGCGCUAACGCAUUAAGUGCCCCGCCUGGGGAGUACGGCCGCAAGGCUG